GGUUAAGCGACUAAGCGUACACGGUGGAUGCCCUGGCAGUCAGAGGCGAUGAAGGACGUGCUAAUCUGCGAUAAGCGCCGGUAAGGUGAUAUGAACCGUUAUAACCGGCGAUUUCCGAAUGGGGAAACCCAGUGUGAUUCGUCACACUAUCAUUAACUGAAUCCAUAGGUUAAUGAGGCGAACCGGGGGAACUGAAACAUCUAAGUACCCCGAGGAAAAGAAAUCAACCGAGAUUCCCCCAGUAGCGGCGAGCGAACGGGGAGGAGCCCAGAGCCUGAAUCAGCAUGUGUGUUAGUGGAAGCGUCUGGAAAGGCGCGCGAUACAGGGUGACAGCCCCGUACACAAAAGCGCAUGUGCUGUGAGCUCGAUGAGUAGGGCGGGACACGUGGUAUCCUGUCUGAAUAUGGGGGGACCAUCCUCCAAGGCUAAAUACUCCUGACUGACCGAUAGUGAACCAGUACCGUGAGGGAAAGGCGAAAAGAACCCCGGCGAGGGGAGUGAAAAAGAACCUGAAACCGUGUACGUACAAGCAGUGGGAGCACCCUUCGGGGUGUGACUGCGUACCUUUUGUAUAAUGGGUCAGCGACUUAUAUUCUGUAGCAAGGUUAACCGUAUAGGGGAGCCGGAGGGAAACCGAGUCUUAAUUGGGCGUUAAGUUGCAGGGUAUAGACCCGAAACCCGGUGAUCUAGCCAUGGGCAGGUUGAAGGUUGGGUAACACUAACUGGAGGACCGAACCGACUAAUGUUGAAAAAUUAGCGGAUGACCUGUGGCUGGGGGUGAAAGGCCAAUCAAACCGGGAGAUAGCUGGUUCUCCCCGAAAGCUAUUUAGGUAGCGCCUCGUGAAUUCAUCUCCGGGGGUAGAGCACUGUUUCGGCUAGGGGGCCAUCCCGGCUUACCAACCCGAUGCAAACUGCGAAUACCGGAGAAUGUUAUCACGGGAGACACACGGCGGGUGCUAACGUCCGUCGUGAAGAGGGAAACAACCCAGACCGCCAGCUAAGGUCCCAAAGUCAUGGUUAAGUGGGAAACGAUGUGGGAAGGCCCAGACAGCCAGGAUGUUGGCUUAGAAGCAGCCAUCAUUUAAAGAAAGCGUAAUAGCUCACUGGUCGAGUCGGCCUGCGCGGAAGAUGUAACGGGGCUAAACCAUGCACCGAAGCUGCGGCAGCGAACGUAUCACCCAAGACAACUUUACGGAGUUGACGAUUGACGGAGCGAAGCGACGUCAAAGCGUUCAUUAAAGUCGAGUUGGCUUAGGGAUACGUUCGUUGGGUAGGGGAGCGUUCUGUAAGCCUGUGAAGGUGUGUCGUGAGGCAUGCUGGAGGUAUCAGAAGUGCGAAUGCUGACAUAAGUAACGAUAAAGCGGGUGAAAAGCCCGCUCGCCGGAAGACCAAGGGUUCCUGUCCAACGUUAAUCGGGGCAGGGUGAGUCGACCCCUAAGGCGAGGCCGAAAGGCGUAGUCGAUGGGAAACGGGUUAAUAUUCCCGUACUUGGUGUUACUGCGAAGGGGGGACGGAGAAGGCUAUGUUGGCCGGGCGACGGUUGUCCCGGUUUAAGCGUGUAGGUGUGUGUUCCAGGUAAAUCCGGUUCACUUUAACACUGAGGCGUGACGACGAGGCACUACGGUGCUGAAGCAACAAAUGCCCUGCUUCCAGGAAAAGCCUCUAAGCAUCAGGUAACACGAAAUCGUACCCCAAACCGACACAGGUGGUCAGGUAGAGAAUACCAAGGCGCUUGAGAGAACUCGGGUGAAGGAACUAGGCAAAAUGGUGCCGUAACUUCGGGAGAAGGCACGCUGACACGUAGGUGAAGUGAUUUACUCAUGGAGCUGAAGUCAGUCGAAGAUACCAGCUGGCUGCAACUGUUUAUUAAAAACACAGCACUGUGCAAACACGAAAGUGGACGUAUACGGUGUGACGCCUGCCCGGUGCCGGAAGGUUAAUUGAUGGGGUCAGCGCAAGCGAAGCUCCUGAUCGAAGCCCCGGUAAACGGCGGCCGUAACUAUAACGGUCCUAAGGUAGCGAAAUUCCUUGUCGGGUAAGUUCCGACCUGCACGAAUGGCGUAAUGAUGGCCAGGCUGUCUCCACCCGAGACUCAGUGAAAUUGAACUCGCUGUGAAGAUGCAGUGUACCCGCGGCAAGACGGAAAGACCCCGUGAACCUUUACUAUAGCUUGACACUGAACAUUGAGCCUUGAUGUGUAGGAUAGGUGGGAGGCUUUGAAGUGUGGACGCCAGUCUGCAUGGAGCCGACCUUGAAAUACCACCCUUUAAUGUUUGAUGUUCUAACGUGGACCCGUAAUCCGGGUUGCGGACAGUGUCUGGUGGGUAGUUUGACUGGGGCGGUCUCCUCCUAAAGAGUAACGGAGGAGCACGAAGGUUGGCUAAUCCUGGUCGGACAUCAGGAGGUUAGUGCAAUGGCAUAAGCCAGCUUGACUGCGAGCGUGACGGCGCGAGCAGGUGCGAAAGCAGGUCAUAGUGAUCCGGUGGUUCUGAAUGGAAGGGCCAUCGCUCAACGGAUAAAAGGUACUCCGGGGAUAACAGGCUGAUACCGCCCAAGAGUUCAUAUCGACGGCGGUGUUUGGCACCUCGAUGUCGGCUCAUCACAUCCUGGGGCUGAAGUAGGUCCCAAGGGUAUGGCUGUUCGCCAUUUAAAGUGGUACGCGAGCUGGGUUUAGAACGUCGUGAGACAGUUCGGUCCCUAUCUGCCGUGGGCGCUGGAGAACUGAGGGGGGCUGCUCCUAGUACGAGAGGACCGGAGUGGACGCAUCACUGGUGUUCGGGUUGUCAUGCCAAUGGCACUGCCCGGUAGCUAAAUGCGGAAGAGAUAAGUGCUGAAAGCAUCUAAGCACGAAACUUGCCCCGAGAUGAGUUCUCCCUGAGACUUAGAGUCUCCUGAAGGAACGUUGAAGACGACGACGUUGAUAGGCCGGGUGUGUAAGCGCAGCGAUGCGUUGAGCUAACCGGUACUAAUGAACCGUGAGGCUUAACCUU
This 2990-nucleotide ribosomal RNA is filed under the name Salmonella enterica. RNAcentral describes it as "23S ribosomal RNA". It matches the Rfam family "Bacterial large subunit ribosomal RNA". Lineage: Bacteria; Pseudomonadati; Pseudomonadota; Gammaproteobacteria; Enterobacterales; Enterobacteriaceae. RNAcentral also lists the same sequence under 3 other names. The record is from RNAcentral.